Molecule: ribosomal RNA, 253 nt
Filed under: uncultured bacterium
Lineage: Bacteria
Description: partial 16S ribosomal RNA
Rfam family: Bacterial small subunit ribosomal RNA
Source: RNAcentral
UACAGAGGUGGCAAGCGUUGUUCGGAAUUACUGGGCGUAAAGGGCGCGUAGGCGGCCUGCUAAGUCGAACGUGAAAUCCCCGGGCUCAACCCGGGAACUGCGUCCGAUACUGGUAGGCUUGAAUCCGGGAGAGGGAUGCGGAAUUCCAGGUGUAGCGGUGAAAUGCGCAGAUAUCAGGAGGAACACCAACGGCGAAGGCAGCUCGCUGGGACGGUACUGACACUGAGGCGCGAAAGCGUGGGGAGCGAACAGG